Molecule: long non-coding RNA, 341 nt
Filed under: Elaeis guineensis (African oil palm)
Lineage: Eukaryota; Viridiplantae; Streptophyta; Magnoliopsida; Arecales; Arecaceae
Description: long non-coding RNA (EGUI_LNC048871)
Source: RNAcentral
GACCUGGGCCAACACGCGUACGCAUGGAAGCAGCAGUGUGUGUAUGUGAGUGGGUCAGAGCCACAGAGGUAAAUUAUCACAACAAUGUGACACAGCAAUAAAAGCUACUUGCAUACACGUAGAAGCAACAAAUGGGUAGGCUACGUACAUACACGUAGAAAGAUGGAUAGACAAACUAUAAGAUAUAUAAUACUGUCCGCAAGCAACGUAUAACUAAUAACCCAGAACUUAGGAGUAUGACAGCAAAAUGAUUAUGAUUGAGGAGUAAAUGAGGUCAAACCUACAGAUAGUAUCUACUUAGACACAGAAAACAAAGGUAAAGAAUGAACAGAUAGGCAUGG